Molecule: transfer RNA, 72 nt
Filed under: Ictidomys tridecemlineatus (thirteen-lined ground squirrel)
Lineage: Eukaryota; Metazoa; Chordata; Mammalia; Rodentia; Sciuridae
Description: Spermophilus tridecemlineatus (thirteen-lined ground squirrel) tRNA
Rfam family: tRNA
About the family: Transfer RNA (tRNA) molecules are approximately 80 nucleotides in length. Their secondary structure includes four short double-helical elements and three loops (D, anti-codon, and T loops).
Source: Rfam by way of RNAcentral
AGGGCUGUGGCUAAGUGGUACAGUGCUUGCCUAGCAUGCAUGAGGCACUGGGUUCAAUCUCCAGCACCACAU